CCAUUUCCCCGAACCAUCGCUUGGAUGAUGAAGCACAUCGCAGAGUACUGCUUCAUCACCAUUCAGGAAUUGUACCCUUUUAAAUUUCUAUAUGGGUAUGCGCUGCUUUUGACACAGCUUUUGUUGUAAGCAGGCACUAAAAUAGAAGCUUAUAAUUAGCUAUCUGGGGAGGCAAGUGUGUGGUAGAACAGAGCUCAGCAAGAGAAAAGUCAAGGCAGGUCCUGGGGAAACACUGCAUGGAAGAUGAGUAAUACAGAGCCCAAGAGUGGAUUGGCAGGAAGGGUGCAGGACCUAACCCAAUGACAAUGCUCGCAGGAGGAGCCCUCCAGAAGGCAACAGCUCCAAACCUCUUGGUACAAAGGAACUCUCUACGUUUAGUUCUCUCGACAACUACCUACUAUAAGAUGAAGUUUCCAGGAACUCAUGUGAUCAUGAGACUCUGCAGUCACUUCAGGGGGUCUUGUUGACUGGCUCGGGGGGCUGGUGUCAAGCCCAAGCAGAAGAGCCCUCAGAGCAAGCAGCCCUGCUUCUGUGGAUGCUGGAUGGCAUCAUCACCAGGCGGGUCCUUCAGAGUACUGGGAGCAGCAUGCAGCCCGAUAGAGUUGGCAAACGUGAAUCUACUAGAAGAUUGACAUGGAGAUCGACAACAGGAUGGUGGACCUCAUGGCCCACACGGCCUCUAAGGAAUAAGACCCCCAGACCACUAGCCCCAGCAAAAACACAAGAGGAAGAGAGAGGCCCUCAGCUGCUGGGGACAACUUAUCCACAUUCAUGGCAAUGUACUGAAGAAAUAUAUAUUGAGCACCAACUAUGAACCAGGCACCAGGACACACCAAGAACACAUUGUUCAUGAUGCAGAGAAGAAACACUUGCAUAACAACUAUAUAUUGUGGUAACUGUUCUACUAAAGAUUAAUGUGAAUUACCAGGAAAGCAGAAAGAAGGGAAUGACACGUCUGAGAAGUCUUCAUAAAAGUACAUUGCUAAAGGAUGACCAAAAUGUUCAAAGGUGAAAAUGACAAUUUCAGGCAAAGAGAACAAUUGAUGCAAAGGCAUGUAAUUACGACACAGCAUAGCAUGUCUAGAAAAGGACAAGAAGUUUGGUGUGGAGCAAUUAGGGGAGUGCAAGGAGAUGCAAAGAUACACAGCUGGAGAUAAAGUGGGUGCUGUGGAAAGUCUUCUAAGCCCUGCUAAUGAGUUUCAAAUUUAUUCACUAUGCAUUGAAAGCCAUUGAAAGGGGUUAAGCAAGAAAGAGACAUGAUCAUAUUUG
This 1269-nucleotide long non-coding RNA is filed under the name Homo sapiens (human). RNAcentral describes it as "HSALNT0376848". The record is from RNAcentral. Lineage: Eukaryota; Metazoa; Chordata; Mammalia; Primates; Hominidae.